Molecule: ribosomal RNA, 924 nt
Filed under: Agrobacterium pusense
Lineage: Bacteria; Pseudomonadati; Pseudomonadota; Alphaproteobacteria; Hyphomicrobiales; Rhizobiaceae
Description: bacterial SSU rRNA
Rfam family: Bacterial small subunit ribosomal RNA
Source: RNAcentral
GACAGUGGUGUGGCAGACGGGUGAGUAACGCGUGGGACAUACCCUUUCCUGCGGAAUAGCUCCGGGAAACUGGAAUUAAUACCGCAUACGCCCUACGGGGGAAAGAUUUAUCGGGGAAGGAUUGGCCCGCGUUGGAUUAGCUAGUUGGUGGGGUAAAGGCCUACCAAGGCGACGAUCCAUAGCUGGUCUGAGAGGAUGAUCAGCCACAUUGGGACUGAGACACGGCCCAAACUCCUACGGGAGGCAGCAGUGGGGAAUAUUGGACAAUGGGCGCAAGCCUGAUCCAGCCAUGCCGCGUGAGUGAUGGAGGGCUUAGGGUUGUAAAGCUCUUUCACCGAUGAAAAUAAUGACGGGAGUCGGAGAAGAAGCCCCGGCUAACUUCGUGCCAGCAGCCGCGGUAAUACGAAGGGGGCUAGCGUUGUUCGGAAUUACUGGGCGUAAAGCGCACGUAGGCGGAUAUUUAAGUCAGGGGUGAAAUCCCGCAGCUCCACUGCGGAACUGCCUUUGAUACUGGGUAUCUUGAGUAUGGAAGAGGUAAGUGGAAUUCCCAGUGUAGAGGUGAAAUUCGUAGAUAUUCGGAGGAACACCAGUGGCGAAGGCGGCUUACUGGUCCAUUACUGACGCUGAGGUGCGAAAGCGUGGGGAGCAAACAGGAUUUAGAUACCCCUGGUAGUCCACGCCCGUAAACGAUGAAUGGUUAGCCGUCCGGGCAGUAUUACUGUUCCGGUGGGCGCAGCCUAACGCCAUUUAUACAUUUCCGCCCUGGGGGAAGUACGGUCGCAAGAUUAAAACUCAUAGGAAUUGACGGGGGGCCCGCCACCAGCGCUGGAGCAUGUGGUUUAAUUUCGUAGCGAACGCGCAGGAACAUUACCAGCCUCUCGCCAUCAACGCAUGGGGCAAUAGUGAACGAAUGGAUUCAUUCUC